This 21978-nucleotide long non-coding RNA is filed under the name Vigna radiata. RNAcentral's name for it is "long non-coding RNA (VRAD_LNC015680)". The record is from RNAcentral. Lineage: Eukaryota; Viridiplantae; Streptophyta; Magnoliopsida; Fabales; Fabaceae.
CUUUUGACAAGUGCAACAACACUUUUGCAAUUGAAUGGAUUUUUAGUUUCCACAAAAUGAUUCAUUUUGCAAUAGGAAUUUAGAAGCAUAUAGUUCACGGUGACUGCCCAAAGAAAGAAAAGGAAUUGUCAUCCAAGUUGGCCUUGGAAAGCUGAAACAAAAAGAAGAGAUUUGUUGGAGUCAAAUUAGAAAAAAGAGAGGUGCAUAUGGUGAUGGUCUUGCUGUACUCCACGCACACUUGAUUCAGCGUGUUUUUCUUUGCUGAAAGAAAAGAGAGCAUGUUACGGUCCAACUCCCACUUGAGAAUUGAAACAUGUCACGGCCUGGGCUUCAACAAUUACAUCCAACAAUUGAUUCAAUGGGCUGAGAAAAAAAAGCACCGGUUGAAAUACAUGGAAGCAAACAACAGCUGGAACAGAAAAUAAAAAAACACACAACAGCUUGAAAAGCACCAACACGGGCUGCACUCCACAUCUUCACACGACCCAAAGUGAGAAAGCAAACAUCAAGCUUCCAGCAGCACCCACGGUCCACCAAGGGUUUGUUUAAUUGAAGUAGACAUGUGUGCUUUAAAAAGAGGCGGCCACCACAUACACAAGAGAGAGACAACUGCCACUUAGAAGAGAGUUUUUCUUUGAACAUUGAAGGAGGAUGGAGGGUUACGGUUUGCUGUGAUUUAUUUCCUUAUAGUACAAGACGCUGAUUUCAUUUCGGUCCAGCUGUUGUUGUCACGUUCUAGGAGCAAGUGUUCAUUUUUCUUUAGAGAUGGGCACAUUUCAUUUUGGAAUAGGAUAGUUGCCACGUCCAACAUAGGAGUAGAUUCAAUUUCCUUUAGAGAAAAGAGUGCUCUGCUUUAACGGUUUGCUAAUUGCUUGAUUAUUUUUCUGCUGCUUUAAAAUUGUUCAAGCACUUUAGAAUUGAAUUUUGAUUCCACCUCAUGUGUACUUCGAUUGCAAAAGCAUUCAAUGCUCUUCUCCUUAAAGUUUCGUUCCAGCUCUCAUGCUUCCGCUUGAUAAUUGAAUAUUAAAACCUUUCCUUUUUGUUUCUUACCGUAGCAUAGAAUGAAUAAUAAAUUAAUUGCCGCUAGUUUUUCUUUGUGACUCAUAGUUUGCUCGGUUCGAUUUUAAUAAUUUACUUGUGAUGUUAGCUUAAGUUAGUUGGUUGGUCAUUAACAAAAUUACAUUGUUUCCUUAAGAUUCUUGGACUGUUCUUGUGAUUAUUCUGCUCUACCUGACAUUCUAUGAAAUCUGACUGUGUUCUUGCAACGAGUAUACGCUUAGUUGCCCAGUUGGUGAUUGCAUCUUCGCUUAAUUGAUCAAUUUGUAUAGAACACAUUGGAUGGAAUAGGUGUAUUGUGUUCGCUUAGCAUGAUUAACCUUCGCUUAGUCAGUUACUGAUGAAGGUUGAAAAACAGUUAUUUUCAUAUGCCAAUUGGGACCAAAUUACACCCUUUACUACCGGAAUGAGCUUAGAAUCAAGCAAAAGUCAAUAAAUGAGUCUGAAGAGAGUCAAAAGCUGUUUUUAGCGAUUUUAUGCUUGUUUUGCAUUGUUUUGAAGCUAAUUUGAGAAAAGUAGAGAAUGGAGUUGAAGAUACAGGUCGUUGACUCAAGAAAAGAGCAGAAAAAUGAAGAUUUGAAGAGUCGACGCACCGCCCGGCGGCACACUUAAACCGACGGGCGGUCCAGGACGAGGAGAAUGCAUGGCGGUUGACGUUGGGCGGACCUGAGGCAAACCGCCCGGCGGUGGCGAUUGCCGCCAGGCGGUAGGGCGAUUUGUGGCAAACUGCCGGGCGACACACUUAAACCGCCCGGCGGUGGCUCGCUGGACUUGGGCCCAAUUUCUGACGCACUCCUCACCUAUAUAUACCCUUAUUGCGAAUUCAGAAUCAUUCUUUUGACAUGAGAGAACGAUCAGACCUAAUUUCGCUCUUUUGUGAUUGAAGUUGAUGGAUGAAGUGCUUUUAGGUGGCCAGGGAUUCUAGCUCAGAAAGCCUUCUCUCGGAAGGAAGCUAGAGGAGCAAUGAAAAGAAGCACUAGGUUGUGACCUUUAAAGGAGUAAAGGCUGGAAAUACAUCAACAUAUCAUUUCUCUCAAGUUCAAAAGUGCCAAAACAAUGGGUACCUCUGUGAAUUUAUAAAUGAUUCACAGGGUCAGUGUGUGGCUGAUGAUGAGCACAAAUCCAUGGAGCUCAUGCCACGAAAUAUAAGAAAAGUGUGAAAGCUACAGUGCACAAAAUACACGUGCCAAUUUUGAAGACAAUCUCCACAGUUUUGCUUAGCGAAAUAGGGGGUGUGUCAAGCAAUAUUAUGCCUUUAUUUCUUUGACUCUUCUACCCUUUUCUUUGUAAUGGUAUGAUCCGUGAUGGCUUGGACAAGUCUUCUAGGUCCUCUUGACUUCAUAGAUGACUUUAUUAGUGAUGGGCUUGGGCCUUGUCUAUCACGUUCUAAGUCUUAAAGGGUGUAAUUUGGUCUAAAUUGACAUAUGAAAAUAAUUGUUUUUCAACCGUUAUCAAUGGCCUUGAUCAUAUGGAUCCUGUAAGCAAUUAGUUCAAUCACAGAAAACUUGGGCAAAAUCAUUCAUGCUUCCAAAGUGAUAACAAUUAUUAAAAAAACAACUCUGAACCCUGACAACGGUCUAAAAACCGUUAUUUUCAUACUUAAAUUUGAUAGUAAAACACACCCUUUAUGGCUUAGAAUGAGCUUUAAAUCAAGUAAAACACUUAGUUGUGUCUUGUGAGAGUCAAAAGUCUGUUUUAGCGAUAUUAUGCUUGUUUUGCAUUGUUUUGCAGGGUUUUUAGAUGAAUUAAAGAUGGAAGUGAAGCAAGGUGGACUUAGACCCAUGAAAGAAGGAGAAAAAUGAUGAAAAGAAGGGUCAAGCAAGCCGCUGAGCGCCAAAAUGGUCCGCUGAGCGCUCAGAGCGAUUAGAGGGAAACCGCUCAGUGGCAAAACUGACUGCUGAGCGGUCAAAGCGGCAAGAGGCAAAACGCUGAGCGGUGAAUUUAGGCGCCUGGGCGGUUGUCUGUUUUUUUAGUUAGAUUCUGUAAAUCUUUCUAUAAUCUAUCUGUUAUCUUUUUGGGCUUAUAUAUAGCCCUAGUGCGAAUUAGAAAGGGAUUCUUUUGGCAGAGAGAAACGUCCAGAACUAUUCCACACACCUUGGAGGAGGUUCCUUGGAUGCUUAGGCUGCAUUCAACCAAGUUUAGGGUUAUUUCUUCCAUUCUUUCAUCAUAUUUCAUCUAGAUUCACCAUGAUUAUGGUGAACUAAACCCUUUGUUGUUAGGGAACAAUGUAAUCUUUUGAAACUCUCAUAUAUUUCAAAUUCUUAUUUAUUUCAUAUGCUUGUCAGAUACUUGUUUAUCAAUUGUUGGGUUCUCAUCUAUGCUCAAUGCUUUUAUUGUUUAACUCAUUUAGUAAAAGAAGUUUGUCUUUAUUGAUAUGGGAACGUACGAUAAUGUCAUGAACUGGUGGAAAAUUCCUUGAUUAUGCCAAUAUCACCUAGGGAUAGGGGUAGGACGGUCAAUUGUAUUUGCUUUCGAUCGCAUUGCAUUAUUGGUUACUAGGGGAGGCUAGGGAUAGCAAGCCAGUAAUUAAUAAUAGGCUCUUUUCACCAAGGGAUUGGGUUAAGGGUAUACUAGAAAGUUUGCAUGGCAAUUAGAUAAAUAAGUGAAGUAAAUAAGAAAAGUAGAUAUAUGAGAGUGGAUAAGAUGAAAUUGUAAACCCCAACAACACCAUUCAUCCAUAGUUUCUCAAAACCAAUUGAAUCAACUGCAUUGCAUGUUUAUUUUUGUUCUUUGCAUAUAACCACCAAAUUUAUUCUGUCCUCAAGUCUUACACGAUUUGUUUACAUGAAAGUUAAGUCCUAAGAGUCCUUUGGGAAAAUGAUACUCAGACUUACCCGUUUAUAUUACUUGAUAACGAUCUGGUACACUUGACAGGGACUUAACAAAGCCCAAAACUCACACAAGUAAACUCCCAAGUUCCAAAAUUUAAAAAAACAUCCUGCUCAGUAUCUCAAUCAAAUUUUAUCUCAAGCACCCGUCUAACAAAUUGGGAUUUAUCACUUAUAGCACAUCAUGCAUCAUCUCAACCUCAAUCAAACACUAGAAUCUCAUAAAGCAAACCCCAUCAUAAAAUAUAGCACAAUUGAAUCAAAGCAGUUCAGUUCAUUCAAGCAGAGUACAAUAAAAUAAAAUAAAAGCAAACAUGAAAAAAAAUUAAAAAAAACAAAAAUUAAAAAUUAAAAGCAAAAGUUCAGAGAAUUGGGUUGCCUCCCAGCAAGCGCUUCUUUCACGUCACUAGCUUGACCCAAUAAGUUCAUGUCACAUCUUUAAUUUUGGUGUCAUCUUUUCCUUCAGCACACCAAUUGGUCUUCAGCAUCUUCAUGUUGACCUUCUUGGUUCUCCUAGAAGUAGGUGAUUCAAUUUCUAUCUGCCCAUCAGCUCUGAGUUCUUUCAUAACCCAGAGCUUUUUGUUGAACUAUACAGGCAAGUCCAGUCUCAACCCUUAUUGCUCUUUCAAAGGACUUUGGUGAACACCUUCUCCUUUGCUAUCUUUUUGCUCUUCAUUCACCUGUGACAAAAAACAAUUUUUACCUUUCUUCUUUGAUUUGGCAGCCUUGGUACCAGUCCCGGGUGCAUCUUUAAAUGCAGCUUUGGGACUAGUUUUCUUCACUUGAAUUUGCUUCCCAAUAUUGUAGGCAUUGAAGAUCACCUCCUCUUCUUGGUCCUUGAGAGCUAUGGUACCCUCAUAAACAUUGAUGAUUACUUUGGUCGUCUUCAUGAAUGGCUUUCUAAGAAAAAUAGGGAUCUCCGUAUUUUCCUCCAUUUCUAACACCACAAAGUCCACUAGGAAUCUUAAGUUGUUGAUUUGCACCAUCAUAUCUUUUACCACACCAUAGGGUCUUUUGGGGGAUCCAUAUGCCACGAGAAGAGACAUUCUUGCCGGCUUAACUUCCAAGUCACCAAUCUUUUUUAGAACAGUUAAGGGCAUUAGAUUGAUACUGGAUCCCAAACCAAUUAAGGCUUUUCCUAUUUUAUUGUUUCCAAUGGUGUAGUGAAGCUUCCUCGGCCUUCUACCUUAGGAGGAAGUGCUUUCUGCAAGAUCAUACUGCAAUCCUCCUGCAUCUCAGUUGUCUCCUCCAUCAGAUUUUUCUUUUUCUUGAGGAACUUCUUUAAAAACUUUGUGUAUUCAGGAAUCUGUUGCAGAGCCUCAAUCACAGGAACUUAUAUCCCUAAUUCCUUGGAGAUCUCAUCAAAACAUCCUAAUUGUAUCUCUUUUUCUCCUUAGGAACACUCUUUAGGAUGAAUUUUCUCUUUUUUUUCAAUUUUUUUGUCUUUCUCUUUUUCUUCUCUUUUUCUCUCAACCUCUUCUCUCUUUUUUUUCUCUCCUUUUUCUCUUUUUCUCUCUCCUCAUUCUCGCUUUUUUUCUCUUCUUCUUCUUUCUUUUUUGUGCAUUCUUCGUUGAGGUUAACCUCAGUAUUAGCCCCAAAGUCUUUAAAAGGCAUCUCCUUUAAUUGUUGGGCUAUUUGGCCAACCUUUAUCUCCAAGUUCCUGAUAACGGCGUCUGUGCUUUUCUGGGUAGACAAAGUUGCGUGCAUGAACUGUUGGAGAGUCUCUUCAAGCCUUGUGGUUCUGUCAAACAAAUAGGGUUGUUGCUGCCAUUGUUGCUGCUGUUGUGGUGGCCUAUUGAAUUGUCCACCAAUCUGCCCAAAUUGACUUGUCCGCUGCUUGGGUGAGAUUUCCAUUGAACUGGUUGCCCAUGUAGUUGACUUCCUCAUUAAGAUUCUUAGGCACUGCACAUUGACCAUUAAUAUGGUCACCACCACACAGCUCACAAAGUUGUUGUUGAACCCGUGCCACACUCUGAGAUUCCUUUUGUGGUUGCAUCACCUUCUUAGUCAAGAUCUCCAAUUGUUGAGUGAUGAUCUUAUUUUGGGCAAGCAAGGCAUCAUAAGCCUGUAGUUGGAAAACUCCUUUAGGUUGGGAUGAAGCUCCUCUUUCACUAUGCAUCUCAUUGUUAUUGGUAGCCAUGCUCUCAAUUAAUUCAUAGGCUUCAUCAGGGGUCUUGCAUUUGAUAUUGUCUCCAGUUGAGGCAUCCAACAUCAAUUUAGUUUGUGACCCAAGACCUCCAAAGAAAAGAAUGACUAUCGUUCCUUCAUCAAAACCAUGGGUAGGCGUCUUUCUCAGCAGGCUUUUGUAUCUAUCUCAUGCCUGUCCCAAGGCUUCCUCCGUGCUUGCCUAAAAGAAGAGAUCUCUUGCUUCCCUUUGUUGAUUUUUUUUUUUAUUGUGGGAAGUAUUUGUUCAGAAAUUUUGUCACCGCAUCUUCCCACCUAGUGAAACUGUUCUCAAGAAAAGAGUUCAACCAUACUUUAGCAUUACCUCCAAGAGAAAAGGGGAACAAACUCACUUUUAUAGCCUCAUCUAGUACCCCAUUUAUUUUCACAGUGUUGCAUAUCUCAUUGAAGGUGGUCAGGUGCUCAUAUGGACUUUCAUGAGACAGUCCAUUGAAUUGGUUUCUCUUCACAAGGUGGAUCAAAGCAGGCUUCUGUUAACUCUUUGGCAAGUGUACCAAAUCGUCUAAAGUAAUAAACCGGUAAGACCGGAAAUCGUUUCCCAAGAGACUCGUGAAACUAGACAAUCGUAUAAUUUCUAACUAACCUAGACUAAAGAAUGUUUCCAUAAUUUGAGAUUUAGUGAAAUUAAAGUAACUAUAAAACAUAAAUGAUAAAAGUGAUCUUAAGCACUCAAACACUUUGAAAUGGAGAGAUUAGAAAUGCAAUGGAAUGAUAUUGUUGGGGGUAUGAUUUCACCUACUUCACUCUUAUGCAUAGAAAAUCACUUCCUCUUCAUUGAUGUGUUAAUGUCAAUCUACUAAUUUACUCAAACCCCAACCCCUUGGUAGAAAGAGCCUAGACUUCCUCAUUAGACUCCAAUCCCUUGGAAAACCUAAUGAUUAAUUCCGCAUUAAGAAAUGAGAUUUUAAGACAUCCAAAGGUCCUAGUUCUAUCCCUAGAUACUAUUUCCUUUAGGUGUUUAACCCAAGUCAAGGUUUACCCAAUAUUUCCCAAUAUCAAGAAACCCUAAAUCAUGUCAUGAGUAGCAACUUCACAACAAGCAUUAAGAAAAGGAAUUAAACACUAACAAUCAAUGAAAGAGGUAUAUAUUCAUUCAAAACAACAUGCUUUACAUAAGAGUUUAGUGGUUACAUCAAUCCCCCAACAAUAAUGAAACUAGCUCUCCAUGAAUGGAGAGCUCAAGCUUACAACAAUGGUGGAAAUGGAAGAAAGAAGAGAACCCAAGGAAGAAGAAGGACUGUUCCCACAACUCCUAGCUCGCUCCAAGAGCUCCCAAUCAGAGNNNNNNNNNNNNNNNNNNNNNNNNNNNNNNNNNNNNNNNNNNNNNNNNNNNNNNNNNNNNNNNNNNNNNNNNNNNNNNNNNNNNNNNNNNNNNNNNNNNNNNNNNNNNNNNNNNNNNNNNNNNNNNNNNNNNNNNNNNNNNNNNNNNNNNNNNNNNNNNNNNNNNNNNNNNNNNNNNNNNNNNNNNNNNNNNNNNNNNNNNNNNNNNNNNNNNNNNNNNNNNNNNNNNNNNNNNNNNNNNNNNNNNNNNNNNNNNNNNNNNNNNNNNNNNNNNNNNNNNNNNNNNNNNNNNNNNNNNNNNNNNNNNNNNNNNNNNNNNNNNNNNNNNNNNNNNNNNNNNNNNNNNNNNNNNNNNNNNNNNNNNNNNNNNNNNNNNNNNNNNNNNNNNNNNNNNNNNNNNNNNNNNNNNNNNNNNNNNNNNNNNNNNNNNNNNNNNNNNNNNNNNNNNNNNNNNNNNNNNNNNNNNNNNNNNNNNNNNNNNNNNNNNNNNNNNNNNNNNNNNNNNNNNNNNNNNNNNNNNNNNNNNAAUUUCUCUUGAUUCAUCACUGAAAUCAUGGUAAAAUAUGUCAUUAUCAGCUUCAUCUCCAUAUUUGCAGCGUUGACCCUUGGCUUUGCAAUGUUGUUAAAAUGAUGAGGGCAAACAACUAUGGUGUAAUCGUCCAAGGUGUGCCUGCUAACAUUUUUCUUUGUACUUCCUUCACCAGUUUGGGAAGCCAUUGAAAUUUUCUUUAGAGAAGAUUCUAUAGAUAAUUUAUUCCCUCACAAAACCCUAGAAAAUAUUGUUAAUAUAAAAAUAAAAAUAAAAUGAAUAAAACACAAAUUAAAAAAAUAAAGAUUAUAAAUUAAAGAUUAAAAAAAGAAAACCAAAAUAAUAAAAUUAAAAAAAAUAAAAAUAAAGGAGAAUAAAAUAAAAAUAAAAUAAAGUCAAAAUUAAUCAAGGAUCAAACAAAUAGAAUAGCUUAAACCGUGAGUCUCCAGCAACGAUGCCAAAACCUUGUUGGGACAAAUCAGCAAGUGUACCGAGUCGCACAAGUAAUAUAAAAUGGUAAGAACAUGUAUCAUAUCCCAGAGGACUCUCGACACUUAACAGUUGUGUGAAAACAAGAUUAAUUAAGACUUAAAAAUAAAAAGAGAUCAUUGGGUUUGGAAAAAAUAAUAAAAUAAAAUAAAAUAAAGUAAAAUUGAUCAGUGGCAAAAGAGCACCGAGAUGAAUGGAGGUCGAUUUAUAUGAGAUGGGUAUGUUGUUAGGGUUAGAUUUCACCAAAUUCCCUCUCAUGUAUAUAAGAAUUCUUCUUUAUGCAUUAAUACCAGCGUCCCUCACUAAAUCACCUAAAUUUGAUCCCUCGAUAAAUAAGUUUGUCCCUAAUUACCAGUUCAUACAUUUCCUAGCAUUCCUGGUAAAAAGAUGUGAAGAUCAAGAGGUUAAGACGACUAAGACUCAUACCCUCAUCCCUAAGCAAUAUAACCCUUAGGAGUAAUUCAACAAGAACCUGAAUUGAAAGGAACCUCCUGGCACUCAUGCAAUUAAUAAAUAAUGCUAUUGAAAGCAAGAAUAAAAAUAGAUGAAUUACUCUAACAAUUAAUGAAAAAGCAUAUGGAAUUAAGAAUCAAUUCAAAUACAUGAGAGUUUACAAGGUUACAUCAUUCCCCAACAAUAAAUAGAAAUUAGUUCACCAUAGACAUGGGGGAACUCUAUGAACAAUGGAAGAAAGAAUGAGAAUGAAAGCCUAAGAAUUGGGAAAAGAGUGUAUUGUUAUGGUCUUCUCUACCAGGGAUGCAAAACCUAGAGUCAUAGGGUCCUUUAAAUAGUGUCAGAGGCGUGCCAGAGCACGACCCGGUCCAAAAGAAUCGAGACAAAGCAGAAACAGGGCCCAGUCCACGAAAACCGUCGCCCAAGUGUCCAAGGAGGUCGCCCGGGCGAGAAUUGAACUUCAUGUAAGGUCUGGGCAUUGAAAUUGGCCGCCCAAGUGAUAACGGUUGAAAAACAAUUAUUUUCAUACUUGAUUUUGAUAUUAAAUCACACCCUUUAUGGCUUAGAAUUAGCUUGAAAUCAUGCAUUUUUAUUAAGUUAGAGAAUAAGAGAAUCAAAGAUGGUUUUAUGCUUGGUUUCCCAUGAUUUUGUAGGUUUAUUGAAUGAUUUGAAAGAAGGAUUGAAUUAUCAAAGAGUUGUAGUGCAGAAAAGUCAACCAGAAUGCAGAAUAGUCAACCAGAAAAGUCAACCAGUUGACCAGAAUGCUGAAAAGUUGACCAGAGUGCAGUUGACUAGCGUUGAGCGGUGAAAAUGGGCGUUGAGCGGCAGUUUUGGGCGCUGAGCGAUCCUGCGAUUAAGGGGAAACCGUUGAGCGGUCAAAUUAGGGGCUGAGCGGUUGUCAGUGUUUAUUAUGCAGAUUCUGUGAUCAUUCUGUUAUCUUUUUGGCCUAUAUAUAGCUCCAGUGCGACUUGAAACCCUAAUCUUUUGGCAGAGGAAGACGACACAACACUAUUUUCACACCUUGGAGGAGAUUUCUUGGAUGCUUGGGCUCCUUUUUAUCAAAUCUAGGGUUUGCUUUUCCAUUCUUCCAUUAUUUUCAUCUAGUUGCACCAUAAAAAUGGGGAACUAAAUCCUUUGUUGUUGGGGAACAAUAUAAUGUUUUGAAACUCUCAUUUAUCCAAAUUCUUAUUUAUUUCAUAUGCUUGUCAUAUACUUGUUUAUCAAUUGUUGGGUUCUCAUCUAUGCUUAAUGCUUUUAUUGUUUAACUCAUUCAGUAAAAGUGGUUUGUCUUUAUUGAUACGGGGACGUACGGUAAUGUCAUGAACUGGUGAGAAAUUCCUUGAUUAUGCUAAUACCGCCUAGGGAUAGGGGUAGGAUGAUCAAUUGUAUUUUUCUUCCAUUCACAUUGCAUUAUUGGUUACUAGGGGAGGCUAGGGAUAGCAAGCCGGUAAUUAAUAAUAGGCUCUUUUCACCAAGGGAUUGGGUUAAGGGUAGGCUAGAAAGUUUGCAUGGCAAUUGGAUAAACAAGUGAAGUAAAUAAGAAUAGUAGAUAUGUGAGAGUGGAUAAGAUGAAAUUGUAAACCCCAACAACACCAUUCAUCCAUAGUUUUUCCUCAACCAUUGAUUCACUGCAUUUGCAUGUUUAAUUCUGUUUUUGCAUUUAACAAUCAAAACUUUAUUCUUUUCUCAAGUCUUAUGAAAUUAGGUUACAUGAAAGUUAAGGACUAAGAGUCCUUUGGGAAACGAUACUCGGACUUACUCGUUUAUAUUACUUGAUAACGAUAUGUUACACUUGCUAGGGACUUAACACCAAGAUAUGAAGCCUCGUCGCCCAAGCGACGGACGUCGAUUCUGCUCGCUUAAGCCACGCUUCUGGACGUCUGGGCUUCGUGUUUUCCCUCCUUCUGGUGCCUUUUUGAGCCCUUUUAAGCGCCAUAUUCUUUGUUCUUCAUCUCUUUUUCCCGUAUUACCUCAAUCUCUGUCAAAACAAGUGGAAAAAGUCAUACAACCAUUGAAAUCAACCUCAACUCUCUUAUUCACACAAUUUAUUGAAAAAAGGGUGCUUUUAGUAUCAAAAUCGCAUAACGAAUAACGGUGUUUCAAACCAUUAUCAAAAACAUCAUGAUCAUGUUUUUACUGCUACAAAAUGAGGUACACACGCUACUCCUGAUACCAUUUUAUCUUCGAAGACAGAUUUCUCUAAUUUGAUUGAAUGGAUUACCUCCUCUUAAAAUAAGGUAAUGUAAAUUGUGUUGUAUGUCCUUUCAUCACAUCAAUCCUCAAGAUACUGCAUUGAAUAAAAGGUGAAAAAUAAUUCUCUAAGAAAAUGUUUUCUACUUUUAUUUUAAUUACAAAACUCUUUGAGUUCUCAAGAUCUUAUAGAAAAUAGUUAGUUCUUUUUCCUGUAUAAAUCUUUGAAAACUUUUAAUAGAUUAAAACAAUGUGACAUGUUUUGUGAUUAAAAAUGAAUGCAGAAAAUGUCUAGUUAAGUGAAAACAAACAACUUGAAAUGUAGUGAUGGUUUUAUUUCUGUCGGAUAGGGUUGUUGGAAAACAGGUAGGCUUCGUUUCAACACCAACAGGGGGUGAAUUAGUGAGGCCUCAAAAUCAGAGUCUUUUUAAAAUCUUUUUCACAGAGUAUAAACUUUUACAAAGUUUCUUGAAUCAUAAGGAAUGAAAAUUUCAAGUGCAGCGGAAAAUACUAAGUUGACUAUGAAAGCAGUAAAGUCGACAUAAUGUAAAACUAUAAGGACAGAGAAUUCAAACGCAGGUUUUUAUACUGGUUCGGCCUCAAUGCCUACAUCCAAUGUCCUUCCUCAAUCUAGAAGCAAAUGCACUAUAAUGGUCAAGGAUUUUACAAAAAUACUUUUAUAGAGACCUCCACGUCAAAAAUAUAAAACAUCUCUCUAACCAUCUAACCAAAAUAUAGGCAGUCCACACAACAAAGAUCUGCAACAAGAUAUCACCACGGUCUUCUUAAUGAGUUCUUGGAGAAAAUUCUCAAAUAUCACAAUCUAUAAAUCACAAAUGGAAGUGUUAGAACAUCCAAAGUCCCUCUGAUCAACUGAGGCACGUCUAUUUAUAGUUUUCUAUAAAUCAGACGCUCCUGUAGUUGACUGGACUACUAAUAGAGUCGACUGUCCUUAGACAGUUAUAACAGUUAAUUCAAACAAUAGCAGUCAACAAAAACCAAAUUGAUUUUGCAUUUAAUACAGUUGACUAUCAUACAAACUUUAACUAACUUUUGAAAAUAUAGUCAUUACUGUUCACACACAAUAAUAGAAUUUCAAACUCACAACUAAGUCGGAUCCACUGCGCAUGUAGUCGACUUAGGCUUAUCAGCACAGUUUGAAAAACUUUUCAAUGAAAAAUCAUUCACAACACUACAUUUGAAAAUUUGUGCAUAGUCACAAGUUUAAUUCGACUUACUUCAUAAUGAAGUCGACUUAAACUUGCAGUCAUGCCACACAAUAUAAGUUCAUAAAAGUGCAUGUGGUUUACUCUUCAAAAACAUGUGUAAUGCAAUAAAAAAUGGUGUAUCAGAUAUAAGCUCAGCAAAUGUGCAUUCACAUAUCAAGGUCAACACAAAACAUGUUCAAUAAGAUAUCAUCCAAUAAGAAACAGAACAUGUGACACAUAACAAAACAUGUGUUAUUAAUAAUGUGUUGUCAUCAUCAAAAACUAGAGUGAUUAAAACACAUUGAGAUUAAGGCUAGCUAAACCAGUGUUUCCCUUAUCAACAAUCUCAACAAUCUCUCCCUUUUUUAUUGACGCACAACCAUGAUUAAUAAGCAACCAUGUUUGUACACAAACCAGUACAUGUUAGAGUAAACAAAGGAUAUAUCAACAUAUUUGAGCUUAAAUUCUCUUAAUGAAAAUAGUUAUCAACAAUCACAUAUCAAGCAAUAUAAGCAUAAUCAUCAAUCACAUAUUUCUUUCACACUUUUCUCCCCCUUUGUGCAUUAGCAAAAAAGGUUUGCUUUCAGAUAUGGAUAUGCUGAUAUCAAGAAAGAGUAGAGAUGCAUCGGAAAAAAUCAAUGUUAACAGUUUAAACAUGCAGUGAUGCUCCCCCAAUCACAUAUAUUUACAUGAGAUAGAUAAACUCCCCCGUAGAAUGUAGGCAUGUGAAAAAUCUAUGCAAGCAAAUAAUGCCCCCCCUGUCAUUAUGCAUACAACAAAAUCAGAUAUAGAUGUAUAAUGUAGUCACACGAAAAUAAGAGCAUACAAUCAGUUCGUAUCAAGAUUGUAUCAGUGUUAUGAUUGCACAAUUCAAUCAAGGAAAGAUACAACUAUCAACAAUAUCACAAUAUAAUCUCAGUGGAAAAUGGUCAUAUAAGAAUAGAGAUAUAUUGAAGAAAACUGGUAUAAAAUGAUCAAACAACUUAAAAAGCAAAUUCCAAUAAAUGGAAUUUAUAAUCCUUGUAUUUGAUAAGUCAAGUUGACCAAUAACCAAGUCAAUUUCAUUGUUUUCCAGACAUAUAUGAUCCAACAGUAACUUCCAUAGCAAUGCUUCCUGCAAAACCUUUCAAAAUAUCUUGCAAAUCAAGCAAUUUAGUUAUGCAAGAAAAUAAUCAAAUAAGAAGUGAUUAUGCAAAAUAGUCAAUGUAAUAGUGAAAACAUGCAUAGUCAACUUUAAUCAAUUUAAAGUUGAUUUAACAUUCAAUCAGAACAGAUUCAAUCAAUCAAUUUAAAGCAAAUCGUAUUGAAUCAAAACACUAAUUUCAUUACUUGUUCAAAACAUAUUACAAUUGAUGAUCAGAACAAGAACAAGACAACAAAAUACAAUGGCAAUUCUAAGACAUUAGAAAAAUAAACUCAAAAUAAGAACAUAAGCAAAAUGUUAGAUUCAUGACAUAGAGCAGUAGACACACAAAAAAUCCCUAUUUUAUUUCAGACAGCUCUUCAGAAUCUUCUUCACUUGUAUCAUCAACCUCCUUUCUUUCGAACUCUUUAGAAGAAGUGGAACUUUCCACGUAAUGUUUGAUUAUUUCAUCCAUCUUCUCAUUCAAAUCCAUGAGAGACUCCUUCAUGACAUUAGUCCUCUUGAAGACAUUUUUAAUUUUUUUUGCUACAGACCUUUCAAAUUCAGAAUUGGGAGUGGCAGCUCUUGUUCGUUGUCAGAGUCGGGUAGUUCACCUCUACCUUUUGGUUGGUCUAUUUCAUCACUGAAGAUCCAUCCAAAAGCAGUUCUCAGAGUUGCUUUUCCAAUCUAAUUUGCUUUGUUACAUGUAACCUUGUUUUCACCUUUGAGAUUAACAUGGUUCAAAGCCAGUACCUUGCAUAUGAAUACACCAUAGGGGUAGCUUAUGCCGGUUAUUGAUACCUACAUCUAACAUGUGCCACUUAAAGACUUCAACCCAAUUUGUUGGUAUCCGAAGCAUUAUAGCAUUCAGCAGAUACAUGUCUUCUGAUGUUAGUUUUAUAAGAUUAUGUCUUCCUGGGAUCAAUAUAUGACCAAUAAUGUCUGCAAUAAUCUUUUCUUCUUUGUCCAACCAUUUGAAUAGAAAUACCUACUCCAUUUUAUAUCUGCUACGGUAUCUCAUGCAGUUUUUAAACAUAUUAGUUUUUCUAGUCCAUCUGUUUUGCAAACAAUCUGGUAGAUGUGAUGAUCUUCCUUAAUUUUUUAUUCCAGCAACAAGUAACCAAGUGUCAUUAUCAAUGACAAUAUCUACUCCUUUCACGCAUGAAUAAAUGUUUCCAUUAACAACUUUGAUGUUGUUGUACAAUACAUGGACAAGUUUUGGAUAGUAGUCACCAGUUAUAUGAACAAAGGUAUGCAAGCCCUGAACACCAAGUUUUUCUAGAAACAAAAAUCCUUCAUUUCAAAAUACGGAUAGGUCGAUAGACUUGUGUGCAACAACUUCUUUGACCUUUUUCUAACACAGGUAUUUUUCUCUAGCACCAUUGUCAUUAAUCCAUCCUGACGGACUAGCGUCUCUUUCAGAUGAAGGGAUCAUUUUGGAUCGUUUAGAUGAGGAGGAAAAAGCCAUUCUUCAAAGUGUCCUUAUCAGAAUUCUUUAGGGUUUGAUGUGCUACGACUUAUGUUAUGAUAAACACAUAUAUAAGGGUGCGAACAAUGCAAUACACAAAUGAGGCCCAUUUUUAAAAUUUUCAAAUUUUAAGGCCCAAAACAAAGACACUAAGUCGAUUUCGAUAAAACCAAAGUUGACUUCUAUAUGACAUAUAACUCAAAAACAGAUUCAGACAUACAGAUACACACAGUCGACAACAUUCAUAAUUCAGUCGACUAAAAGUCAUGAAAAUCAUUUUUCAAACAAAUCAUUCAAACAAACAAUCAUACAAUCAACAAACAAUCAAUUUCCACUCAAUCAAUCUAUUCAUACAUGAUGUAGUAAGCUGAAUACAUGUUACAAGUUGUAGAUACUCAAGAUGUUUGAUGUAGCUAAUGUAGUUCAUCCUUGAGUUCUCACUGCAUCUGUUUGCAAUGCUACAAAACAGUUUAAGUUUUUGUUGCAGGUACCCAUUUAAACUUGGGUCCUUGAUUGUUAGUUGAGGCCAGAUGUUCCUUAGGUAUCUACACAUAUAAACCUUUAGGAACUCCAACUCUUUUGUAGUAACAAUUUCUAACAGUGUGACCAACACAAUUACAAUAAAAACAGGCAUGCUUAAUAGGCUUGCUUAAAUCUGAAAAUUUUCUUGUAUUGGACCUAUUAGAGUUAGCUUUAAAACCAAUGUCUUGUCUUUUAAUUACUCUUCCAGCAGACUUUAAUACAACAUUCAAGUUAUCUCUACCUUGUGUGAAUUUGGCUAGCGUACUAGUCAAGUAAUCUAUUUGUUUUACAUGAGUAAGACAUUUAUCACAUGUUUUUUCUACUGUAACAGUCUCAAUUUUAACCUUUUUAGCAGACAAUAAGGCUUCAUCUAAUUCUUUCUGUAAUUUUUCAUUAUUAGUGACAAGAUUAUUGAUUUUAUAUUCAUAAUCCUUCCUAUCAGAGUUAAGUCGAUUAACCUUAUACUGGAGUCGCAUAGCUUCAACAUAAAUUUCCUUGAAAGCAUCCAACAGUAAGUCAUACUUGACUUCAAUCGGUUCUUGUUCAAACUCUGUGUCACUGUCAUAGUCGGCCAAUGAUGCUCCAACCAUGUAGCAGAUGUUAGACUCAUCUUCUUGAUCAUGAUCUUCAUCACUUGAAGAAUCCAAAUCAUUGUUUUCCCAAGCAAUAUAAGCUCAUUUUUGUUUUCUGCUAUUGUCUUGAGGAAAUCUUCUACUAAUUUUCUGCUUUGGCUUCAAGUCUGGACAAUCUAGUUUGAUAUGUCCCUUUUUUCCACAUUCAUAGCAUUGUAUAGCACUUGACCUGUGAGCUUUCUUGACUUUGUUGUGACCUGCAUGGUUAGUAAGUUGACUAUCAUUUUUCAUAAGUCGACUAAAUUUUCUUACCACCAAGGUCAUCAAUUCUUUGUCGUCCAUCUUUGCAUCUAAUUCUUCCUCUGACUUUGAGGCUUUCUUGCUUGUUACUUUCAUAGCAAUGGACUUCUUCUCUUCAAUCUCUUCUUCGUCCUUCAACCUUCCAAGUUCUAACUCAUGUUCUCUUAACUUGCUGAACAAGGUAGCCAUAUUCCUGCUUGUGAGAUUUUUGGACUUAGAGAUUGCUAUGACUUUGGGUUGCCAGUUUCUAUUCAAGCUUUUCAAAAUCUUGAUAUUGAUCUCUUCCUUAUCAAACACUUUGCCAAGAGCCAUAAGGUGAUUUACAAUGUGAGUGAAUCUUUUCUGGACUUCAUAGAUUGUUUCACCAGCCUUCAUCCUGAAAAGUUCAUACUCUUGAAUCAAAGAAUUCUUCCUUGCUCUCUUGACUUCAUUAGUGCCUUCAUGAGUGACUUCCAAGACAUCCUAAAUUUCCUUGGCAGAUUCGCAUUGAAAUAUCCUGAAAAAUUCAUCAACAGUUAGUGCAGAGGCAAUGAUAUUUCUAGCUUUAACAUCAUAUUGAGCUUUCCUAUUCUCUUCUGGAGACCAUUUAGAAAUAGCUUUUACAAUAGUUUUUCCAUCAAUAGUAUGAGUAGGCUCAAAAGGACCAUUCAAUGUUGCAUCCCAAAUUCCUCUAUGAUGGGGAAGUGCAUACCUGGAGAGAAUAGACUAUAUGACAUACAAGAGGAUUGAUAGAAAAUAAAAGCGGAAAAGAGUAGAGAAGAGGAAACUUAUGACUCGUAGACACGCCACUUAAAGAAGGCUCCAAGAUAAGUGUCGAAGAAGUACCGCCACUCGCUUUGCCCAAGAUAAGGUCUGCCCAAAAUGGACUAAAGAGACAGAGAACUAUCUCUAAGAGGAAUGCAAAUUUUCAAUUCAACUCAAGAAUUCAAUUCAUUCAAAGGGUGUGUGUGUACAAAGGAGACCCCCUAGGCUUCUUAUAUAACUUUUGGAGUGAUUUUGGAUGAUAGUUUCAAGAGAUGUGGGACUUGAAUGCCUAAGGUCUGACUAGCAACAUCCCUAGGUGUUUCUUAGUCCCACAUUGCUUAACUCUCUCAUUCCAAAAGGGUUUAUAAGCCACCUAGCUCUCCUAAAGUUCAAAAAAUGAACACAAGCUAUGCUACCUUGCGCUACAAGCUAAGACACAUUUCUUCCUCUUCUUUUUUUUAAGACCAAGCCAUGGAAAGUACCACAUUGCUUGUGCUUAAAGGAAAAGAAGGGUUUAUAAGUGUUUAUUCAACUAGAACUAACGAAAAGAAACAAAUAGGCAAAUACAAGCCCAUGAAACUUAUUCUACUCUUUUUUAUUCUUUUUGUCACUCUGAAAACUCUUCAUUGUUGCCCCAUCUAUGAUCAUAUCACUCUAUCCACAGAUUCAAGAAAUAUUUGCAUUCUAACUUUCCAAAAAGGAUAAUUUUCAGUAGCAAACAGAGGUGGUCUGUUUGUAGAUGAACCUUCACCAAAAGUUUGAAAACUGCAAGUCAUUCCCAGGUGUAUAGUUGAAUCAAAGAAAAGCGAAGUCGACUAGUUUUUCAAAUAUUUUAUGAAAACUAGCUCUGGUGCCAAUUGUUGGAAAACAGGUAGGCUUCGUGUCAACACCAAGAAGGGAGGGGGGGGAUGGGGGAUAAAUUGCUGAGGUUUCAAAAUCAAAGUCUUUUUAAAAUCUUUUUCACAAAGUAUAAACCUUUACAAAGUGUUUUGAAUCACAAGGAAUGAAAAUUUCAAGUGCAACGAAAAAUACUAAGUUGACUAUGAAAGCAGUAAAGUCGACUUAAUGUAAAAGAGCAUAUGGGUAGAGAAUUCACACACAGGUUUUUAUACUGGUUCGGCCUCAAUGCCUACAUCUAGUGUCCUUCUACAAUCCGGAAGGAAGGAAAUGCACUAUAAUGGUCAAGGUUUUUACAACAAGGCUUUUAUAGAGACCUCCACACCAAAAAUAAAAAACACCUCUCUGACCCUCUAACCAAAAUAUAAGUAGUACACACAACAAAGAUUUGCAGCAAGAUAUCCCCUCUUUUGCAAUCUUUAAACCCACUUUGAAAAAUCCUCAAAGUGUCCAAACUCCACGAGUCAACCCCUCUAUAAUCACAACAGGAACACAGCAACAAUCUUUACAAAGAUUGAUAGAAAUCUUGAUCAGCAGAUGAGCGUCGCAAUGUGCAGGGUAUCAUCAGCCAGUAAGCACAUAAAUCCUUCUCCUUCAAAGAACCUCUUCAUAGAUAGAUCACGACGGUCUUCUUGAUGAGUUCUUGGAGCAAAUUCUCAGAGAUCACAAUUUGUAAAUCACAAAUGAAAGUGUUAGAACGUCCAAAGUCCCUGUGAUCAAUUGAGGCACGUCUAUUUAUAGUUUUCUAUAAAUCAGACGCUCCUGUAGUCGACUAGGCUACUAAUAGAGUCAACUGUCCUUAGACUGUUAUAACAGUUAAGUCAAACAGUAGCAGUCAACAACAACCAAAUUGAUUAUGCAUUUAAUACAGUUGACUAUCAUAAAAGCUUUAACUAACUUUUGAAAAUAUAGUCAUUACUGUUCACACACAUUAACAAAAUUUCAAACACACAACUAACUAAAUCAAAUCCACUGCGCAUCGACUUAGGCUUAUCAGCACAGUUUGAAAAAAUUUUCAAUGCAAAAUCACUCACAAGUUUAAUUCAACUUACUUCAUAAUGAAGUCGACUUAAACUUGCAGUCAUGCCACACAAUAUAAGUUCGUAAAAGUGCAUGUGGUUUUCUCUUCAAAAACAUGUGUAAUGCAAUAAAAUAUGAUGUAUCAGAUGCUUAGCAAAUGUGCAUUCACAUAUCAAGAUCAACACAAAACAUGUUCAAUAAGAUAUCAUCCAAUAAGAAACAGAACAUGUGACACAUAACAAAACAGUUAUUAAUAAUGUGUUGUCAUCAUAAAAAACCAGAGUGAUUAAAGCACUGUGAGAUUAAGGUUAGCUAAAUCAGUGCUUCCCUUAUCAACAAUCUCAACAAGGGUUUGGAGCAUGUAUGAGGACAAAUGAAAUAUGUUCUGAUCAAAUGAAGAUAAAGUAGAGAAAACGGAUGUUGCAUAUCCGUUUAAGCCUGAAACAGAUGUUGGAUAUGCAACAUCCGUAAAUGGCCAAGUCGCAUAUCUCGUAGACCCAAGUCAUGAAGCACCACUGACCACCGCACGCACCGUCCAACUGUUGCACCGCUGCACUAAUGCACUACCUAAUGACCACUGCAAACACUCCAUACCGGUGCACCAUGAAACCCAAACGAUGGAGACAAGAAACAAACGAACAAAUAUGAAAGAGAAAUAACGGAUCUGAGAGUUAAAGGGAGUGGGAACAUAUCUGAGAGUUGGAGUGAAUGAGAACGGAUCUGAGAGAGGGUGGGAAUAUGGAAACAAAGAAAAAAGAUGUGAAACUUGAAGAGGCGGGUGGGGUUGCAUUGUGAAAAUAAGUGAGUGAAUAUGAAUUGAAAAUUAGGGUUUUAGAAAAAUAAAAUAAAUAAGUAAAUAAACGGGAUUAAAAAGUAAAAAAAGUUAAUUUUUUAAUUAAAAAAUUUUAUAGAAAAUUGGGGAGGUGGAAGGAGCGUGGUAAUGUAGGGAGCAACACCCAAAGUUAAAUGACUUUCGGAUUUUGGAUCCAUAAGUUAUUUAUUUGAAAAAAAAAUGACUUUAAAUGUACAAUUUAAAAAGGGUAAAAUAAAAAAAAAUGCACAAGACUGCAAGAAGAAAGUUGUGGAAGGUUCUGGAAGAAUUUGUCUCAUUUGUAAUAGCUGAUAUAUAGAAUUUGAAGGAGGUAUUAUAGUGGUUUAAUUGUAUAAAUUUUAUUGGGUGUUGUUCCCUCUACCUCUCCAAGUGGGUCUUGCACCUCCCCACUAUUUUAAUUUAUUUUAAAAAUAUUUUACACCUCUCUACUAUUUUCUUUUAUUCCAAAAAUACUCUACAUCUCCCCACUAUCCUUAACCAUCUUUCUCUUUCUCUCUCUACAUUAAUGGAGCAUUUACAUGGUUGAUAUUUGAAUUUAGGAUAUAUUACAAAAUAUAAAAUUAAGAGGAAACUUCAAUAUUAGUACUUCCACCAUUUCCAUUUUAUAAAAUUAAAAGUUAGAUNNNNNNNNNNNNNNNNNNNNNNNNNNNNNNNNNNNNNNNNNNNNNNNNNNNNNNNNNNNNNNNNNNNNNNNNNNNNNNNNNNNNNNNNNNNNNNNNNNNNNNNNNNNNNNNNNNNNNNNNNNNNNNNNNNNNNNNNNNNNNNNNNNNNNNNNNNNNNNNNNNNNNNNNNNNNNNNNNNNNNNNNNNNNNNNNNNNNNNNNNNNNNNNNNNNNNNNNNNNNGUGAGUUAAAACAUAAUAUAAUGUUAAAAAUUAUAGAUAUUAUAUGUAAAAAAAACACACACAUAUAUAUAAACAUUUUUCUAGAAAUUUAGAACAAAAUUAUACCAUUUAUUAAGUAAUUUGAAAAGAAAAAAAUAUAUUCAAUAGCAAAAAUAAAAUUGAAUCAAACUUAUUUAAGAAAAUAUAUCACAAGUUCAAAUUUGAGUCAUUUAAAUGCUCCAUUAAUGAGCCAUGUAGAUGUUCCAUUAAUGUAGAAAGAGAAAGAGAAAAAUGAUUAAGGACAGUGGAGAAGUGUAGAGUAUUUUUGGAAUAAAAGAAAAUAGUAGAGAUGUGUAAAAUAUUUUUGAAAUAAAUUAAAACAGUGGAGAGGUACAAGACCCACUUAAAGAGGAAGGGAGCAACACCUUUAUUUACAGUGGGAUAGAAAGUGAUUAUAUAAUGAGAACAAGUGAAGAAGGCAUGAUCCUCCCCAAACACUUUCCAUCCAUGGGAGCCACUCUCAUCGGAAGGUUGAAACCUUCCACAAGGUUGAUGCCCUCCCGCUAAUCAAACUCUACCAGAGUAAUUAGUGAGGCGAGGUAUGUGCCGACGCAUUCUACCGUUAACGUUCCGUAGUCACCGAUGACAUAUGAAAACUUGCCUGUGACGUCGAUGGAGCAAAGGGUCCAACCCCACAAUCGGUCGGAACAAGCGGGAGGCACAUGGAGAGUGUUGGAGUCACCUGGUAGAAGGGCGAAGCCACCGUUGAAGAGUAGCAAGAUUCCGGCGCCGGAUAAAGGAGAGAGGAGUGAAAGAGUUUGGAAUUGAAGAAUUUGUAAGGAGUUUGAGAGGAGAGCGACCAAUAUGUGGAAGCUAGACAAAUGAUAGAUAAGUGUGAAUGAAAUAUCUAUCAUCCAUACUAUCAUAGGAAAGAAACCCAACCUAUCACAGACCAAACAAAAGCGCCAAUCUCCACAAUAGCUCCACAAUAGAUGCACCCCACGAGCGAAGCACCACCAACACACUACCACCGCACCAAAACACAACCAAGGCACUCAAAUGGAGAAGAAAAAAAGCAAGGAAGUGGAAACGAAUUUGGAAAAUGGUAGGAGGAGAAACGGAUACGAAAAGAAAGAGAGAAAGUGAUGAAACUCAGGGCUGUCAAUGACAGCUAUAUUUAUUGGACGAAGGUAUAAAUAGCAACUGAGGAGAGUGGAAAUAGCGAUUCCAAUUUCAAGUUAUCCUUACUGCUGGUCCAAAUAAAAAUAUUUGUUAAACUAGUGAGGCCUUUUCUUCCUGCGCCCCUCUAAAAUCGUACAUUCCAAUUUUACCCUCUUCCUCUCCCUCAUUGUUCUCCCCAUUCAUCGCACCAGGACCAGUACACACCCCUAACAUUUUUUCUUCACCAUUCUUUUACAUCCAUCUUCACCUCCAUACGCGACCAUCAUCUUCCUCACCAC